RNAcentral lists this long non-coding RNA (3532 nucleotides) under Sus scrofa (pig). Its description in RNAcentral is "lncRNA (ENSSSCG00000062213.1)". The record is from RNAcentral. Lineage: Eukaryota; Metazoa; Chordata; Mammalia; Artiodactyla; Suidae.
AAUGGGAGAUCCUUAUGGAUUUGGAGAAGUGUGUCCAGUGCAUUCUAUAAUGUUUUGCCUUUAGGGAGUCAGAGAAUGGGGGGAGGGGGGUGCUGCUGUCACAGUAAUUACUUUUGAGGUUUGCAGGAUACUCUCACUGACCUCCCCACUCUUUCCAGCAUCCUGCUUUCCUCAGGGAACAUCCCCCCUCAUAGCUAUCUGCAAGGUUAGGAAACAAGCUUUUUCAGCAAAUAAUAUGUGGCUUCCAUGUGGAUGCCCUGUUAUGAAUAUUGAAAAACCUGAGGCUGUAACAAUUGUUUUUUGUCUUAUUUAUCUAUUGUCUAGCCUGGAUUGAAUACUUAGUUGUGUGAAUCUAGCCCUUGAUAUUUUCUGUGAAAGCAGCUGGGCAUCCAAUGAGUUCCUGCUUCUCACCACAGUCCUCCCAAAUCAUCUUGGCUUUUCUCCAGCUCUCUGCUCCAUGUAGGAGACUCAAAGCCCUGCCUAAGUCAGAUUCUCCUGAACACACUUAAGAAUCAACAAAGGAAUUUUGUUUGAAUCCAGGCUACAGGACAUGAAAUAAGUGUUCCUAAAAGAACGUUCUCUUCCUUCUUGGUUCAAUGCAUCCUGCACUUUAACUCAAGUCUCUGGUUCCAGAAUUUGGCACUGCCUCUCACAGUGUUAAGCAUCUGGGCUUUUAGGCUUUUCAGAAUGCUGUAUACUUUAGGAAGGUCAGCACUUUGUAACAAUUUUCCAAAGAAAACAGUCUUUGUUGCCAUAACCUUCUUGUAUAACCAAGUUCACAGAGCCUGGAAGCAUUUUGUAAUUGUAUUGAAACAGCAAAAACUGCCCUGGGGGACCACCCAAGGGACAGGGAUAAAUUGGUUGCCUCCAUUAAGUGAUCUUUAAGCAUCAAAUUUUAGUAGAAAUGUUGGGGAGUAAGUGAUCACUUAAAAAAGAGGUUGCCUGAGGUCUGAGAGUGCAAGUUGGCCUAUAGUUAAUAACUGCAAGGUCAUUGCAUGAAAUCAGUAAGAGGAAGCAGAGAGGAGCGGGUAUCUUAUUUCCAUACUGUGGUCUGAUGGUUUGUGAUGUCAGCAGACCUUCAAAAUGGAAUGAUUGCCUUUAAAAUAUCAUAUCAUCUUGUUAACGAGAAAGGAGAUCAAAGAAUUUACUCCAAUAUCCAGUCAUGACACUAUAAUUUAAAAGUGCUUUGCAAUGAUUCCCAUCCCAGGGCUUCAAAUUCUUUUUCUUAAUUAAUUUCAUUCAUAGAAACUGCUCUAAGGGCCAGAGAUUUUUAUGGCUCUUUUGCAGAGAAGUCAGGUUACAUGCAAGGAAUUCUCAGUAAUGCAUGCUCAUAACAGAAGAGAUCAGUAGUGAAGAUUAUCCCAAAUAGUGGAUAAUCCAAAAAUCCUCGCUGUUGGCCUUUGGAAGGUAUGCAUUAUUUGUUGUUGUUUUUGCUGCUGCUGCUUCUGCUGGAGUUUUUGUCUGUUUGCUUGCUUACUUUUUUUUUCUGCCAUAAGACACCUAAUAGGACACUCACAGAAGGGACCACAGUGCCAAAUUGAAUGGUCGAGAAGGUGGCUCAAAAACACCUUGAAUGGCAACAGAAGGGAGCCCUGAUAUAAGGCCUGUGGUAGAUUGAAGGGAAACAAAUACACAUAAACCUCAAGUUUGUAUUGUCAGAAAGACAAUUUUUCCCACUGCUCCUCUACUACAGUAAUAACUUGGCUAUUAAUUUAUCUUAGGUAAAAUGAACAGGAAAUAAAAUUGAAAUGAAUAUGAACUUGCAUUGCAAAUUUGAAAUGCUGAAAUUAAAAAAAUUCCUAUGUAAGGAAAUUCUAUGUAAGGAAUAUAAUUCUAUAUAAGGUAAAAUUCUACAUAAGGUAUAUAGAAUUAGACAUUUGGGGCCGGGAAAAAUCUGGGAAUUGCUUUGGUUGAUAUUUUUAAGUGGGAUCAGCAGCCAAUUAGUUGGAAAUAGAGCAUGAAGUAAGAGAGUUUAAAUAUAUACUUGUUACUUGGUUCAAAGUAUCCCAAAGCUUGGUCAUAUGGAUCCUAAACAUAGUUCAUCUCUGUAUCACUCUUCCUAAAAUGGAAACACCAGAAAAUUUGCACUGAGUGUCUUUCACACUGAAAUUACUGUUAGAAUGAGGAUCUAGAACAAGAAUGUUCAUUCAUUCAUCCACUCAUCUUCCCAUUCAUUUAUUUGUCUUUUGUAUACAAAACACUGUUAGGCAGGUGAAAGAUACUUGUGGGAACAACGCAGAUUAUCCCUGAGCAUACAAACCACCUGGCAAUAUUAUCCCAUCAGUUACAGCAUGGAAAUGGCCUUUGCUAAAUCCAUUGGUCCAUAUUAUAUGAUACAGCUGGUGAAGAGAUAUAGUUGCAUAUUCCUAUGCUGCAUGAUAAGCGUAUGUCCAAAAACUUCCACUAGUCCAUAAACUGGAUGUGUACCUCUUAAAUUCAGUUGUUUAAUAAAUGAGGGCAGAAGAGCUAAACUACUUAUUGCUCUGUCAGCGUUAAAGAAAUAGGAAAUUUCAUUUAAAAAAUACCAAUAAAGUUAUAAAAUCAUUCCAUUGCUUUUCUAGGCUUAAUAAUCUGGGUAAAAAAUUUUGAAUCAAAUUACAAUUCCAGUUGCAAAAAUGUAAAGAAUUUACUUUAUGUACUUAACCUUUGCUAGCCACCCUCUCCAUGAUACAACAUCAAAGGAAUUCCUUUGGGGAAAAAGAAGAUAAUCAGGUUUGUUAGGGAAGAACUUUCAUAUGUCAUCACCAUUACUUACUGAACUAUAGUGAAGUAUCAUUUUGUAGGCAAGGAAGGAUCAAAAAAGAUAUGACAAAAACCCUCUUUAGCCAGGUUCUUAAAACUGAUCCAAACAAUGUUCGAUUUUUAUCUUCCAUGACAAAUCAGGUGUCAAGGUGAAUUUGGGUACCACUUCCAUUGAAUGAACGUCUCAAUUAGAUAACAACCAAACGAUAUGCUCAAGCUGCUGUAAUUUGACAAUAUAGAAAUAAAGGGCUUUAAUCUCUCUUAUUUUCUCCUACAAUCCUCCUCCAUUUCAGCAUUGGAGAAAGGAGGAAUCUUGUCACAAAUGCUUUUGAGAACAAAGCACCAGUUUUUAUUAGAGACUGAGAGUUUAGCUUAUUUAUACGUGCCUCAGUGUCAGGUAAACCAAUGUCUUUUUUUUUUUUUUUUUUUUUCUCUUUCAUUCUUGUAAAACUUUGAUGCUUACAAUAGAAUGCCAUCAUCAAACACAAAGAUUUCCACAGGUGCCACUCUAGCUGGAAUAGAACUUGAUCUCUGCCAGGAGAAGAAGCUUUUUGUAGAAGGUGGUAUCUAUUGUCUUUUCAGGACUGCGUGGUAAUUAUCUUACAAGUGUUAAAUAUAUAGCAUCUACAAAUAUACACAUUUUAUUUUGACUUAACUGCAAAGUACAGAUAGUUUCCACUUCUGUGUAAGAAUAACUUGGCUUUUAUUUUUAUAGUUUUCAAAGCACUGUCAACUGUUUUAUCUCUUUCAGUUAUCACAACAGUUCUGUGGUAAACUUAGGUACAUGUUU